This 460-nucleotide ribosomal RNA is filed under the name uncultured bacterium. RNAcentral describes it as "partial 16S ribosomal RNA". It matches the Rfam family "Bacterial small subunit ribosomal RNA", at positions 338 to 795 of the family's 1533-position model. The record is from RNAcentral.
CCUACGGGGGGCAGCAGUGAGGAAUAUUGGUCAAUGGACGGAAGUCUGAACCAGCCAAGUAGCGUGCAGGAUGACUGCCCUACGGGUCGUAAACUUCUUUUACACGGGAAUAACACCCUCCACGUGUGGGAGUCUGCAUGUACCAUAUGAAUAAGGGCCGGCUAAUUCCGUGCCAGCAGCCGCGGUAAUACGGAGGGCCCGAGCGUUAUCCGGAUUCAUUGGGCUUAAAGGGAGCGUAGGCGGGGUGUUAAGUCAGCUGUGAAAAUGGGCGGCGCAACCGCAGAAUCGCAGUUGAAACUGGACGUCUUGAGUACAGAAGAGGUAGGCGGAAUUCGUGGUGUAGCGGUGAAAUGCAUAGAUAUCACGAGGAACCCCGAUUGCGAAGGCAGCUCGCUGGGGUGCGACUGACGCUGAGGCUCGAAGGUGUGGGUAUCAAACAGGAUUAGAUACCCUUGUAGUC